This 622-nucleotide long non-coding RNA is filed under the name Equus caballus (horse). Its description in RNAcentral is "lncRNA (ENSECAG00000054513.1)". The record is from RNAcentral. Lineage: Eukaryota; Metazoa; Chordata; Mammalia; Perissodactyla; Equidae.
GGAAGGCGGACGGACUUCCCUCCGGGAGGAUGUGGAGAUAGGUGAAAACUCUCCGACCCCGACCGAACAGCCUAGUACCCGCAAGUGGCUUUCUUCCAAUGGACGCCCCCAGAAGAUCAACACACACCUAGGGCAGGAGCGAGCACACACCAGAGGAGUGACGGUGGAAACAGGCACAUUAUCGGAAGAAUCCAUGAACAACAGAGUUUACCAAAAACAGAGGCAUUCAGGAAGCCACCUGAUGAAGAGCUGGAGAUGCAAACUUCUGAAGGAUGAUGUUCUUUUUGUUCUUCUCCUGUGACAGUGGUCUGUGGAUAUAACACCCACUUUGUUGUCCUACGAAGCUCUUACAGAUCUCAAGCAGUGGUUGAUCCUGCUGCACACACGGAUUACCAGAGAGGUACUGCUCGGGUUUCCAGAGCGGAGGAGUCGUCCUUUGAGACACAGCUAAAGAGACAGGUAAAUCUCUGGCUUUCAACUUAUUUCCCCUUUUGCGCUUCCUCUUUUUCUUUGAAUAGGGUUACAUUGCUGUCACAAAUGCUUCAUUCUGCCUCUGAUGUGUUUACCAUCUCCUUUUGCCCAAAGUAAAGCUGGUCCACAUAUUUCUAGACCAGAGUCUUAG